Molecule: ribosomal RNA, 301 nt
Filed under: uncultured bacterium
Lineage: Bacteria
Description: partial 16S ribosomal RNA
Rfam family: Bacterial small subunit ribosomal RNA
Source: RNAcentral
CAGCCGCCGCGGUAAUACGGAGGGUGCAAGCGUUAAUCGGAAUUACUGGGCGUAAAGCGCACGCAGGCGGUCUGACAAGUCAGAUGUGAAAUCCCCGGGCUUAACCUGGGAACUGCAUUUGAAACUGUCAGGCUGGAGUCUUGUAGAGGGGGGUGGAAUUCCAGGUGUAGCGGUGAAAUGCGUAGAGAUCUGGAGGAAUACCGGUGGCGAAGGCGGCCCCCUGGACAAAGACUGACGCUCAGGUGCGAAAGCGUGGGGAGCAAACAGGAUUAGAUACCCUGGUAGUCCCUGUCUCUUAUAC